Molecule: ribosomal RNA, 586 nt
Filed under: Backusella recurva
Lineage: Eukaryota; Fungi; Mucoromycota; Mucoromycetes; Mucorales; Backusellaceae
Description: SSU rRNA
Rfam family: Eukaryotic small subunit ribosomal RNA
Source: RNAcentral
GCAGCCGCGGUAAUUCCAGCUCCAAUAGCGUAUAUUAAAGUUGUUGCAGUUAAAACGUCCGUAGUCAAAUUUUAGUCUUUUAGGCUGAGUGGCCUGUUCUUCAUUGAGCAAGUUCGCUUUGGCCAAGACUUUUUCGGUUAGGUAUGGCAAUGGUUGGUUUCGGCCGGUUGUUGUUCUCUGCCUAGCUAAUUACCAUGAGCAAAUCAGAGUGUUUAAAGCAGGCUUUUAAGCUUGAAUGUGUUAGCAUGGAAUAAUGGAAUAUGACCCAGGUCUUAUUUCGUUGGUUUAAGAACUUGAGUAAUGAUGAAUAGAAACGGUUGGGGGCAUUUGUAUUUGGUCGCUAGAGGUGAAAUUCUUGGAUUGACCGAAGACAAACUACUGCGAAGGCAUUUGACCCAGGACGUUUUCAUUGAUCAAGGUCUAAAGUUAAGGGAUCGAAGACGAUUAGAUACCGUCGUAGUCUUAACCACAAACUAUGCCGACUAGAGAUUGGGCUUGUUUAUUAUGACUAGCUCAGCAUCUUAGCGAAAGUAAAGUUUUUGGGUUCUGGGGGGAGUAUGGGACGCAAGGCUGAAACUUAAAGGAA